Nylanderia fulva is the source of this 889-nucleotide long non-coding RNA. RefSeq lists it as uncharacterized. The record is from RefSeq and is a predicted model, not a curated record. NCBI's taxonomy places the organism in Eukaryota, Metazoa, Arthropoda, Insecta, Hymenoptera, Formicidae.
UCGUAUAGAUGCAUGUAGGACAGUGCGUCUCAUUUUAUGAAAAUUUAUAGAUAAUUAAGAGUGCUGAUUUUAUUUACAAUAGUUCUAGAGUUACUGAUAGUUCAAGCAAAUAGUUCAGGUCCUUAAAGAAAACAACGAAAAUGCCUUAGGACAAACUGGGACAUCAACCUAAUGUAGCGAAAAUAUAGGACAAAAUAAGACGUUGCGUGUAGAACUAUUAUAAAUAAAGUCAGAGCUCUUAAUUAUGGGUUCCCACAAAAUGAGAUGCCAACUUCACACACAUUGUAGGGCACCCUAUAUAAUUGAUACAUAACUAUACUAAUAUCGAAACGUGCUACGUCAAACCAGCUGGAAGGAAGACUCGCAUAUACGCACCAGGAUUGACCGAAAUCCGAAUGUAACGAAAAAGAGCAAAAAUUUCUAAAACCCGGUUAUUGAGAGAGGAGGUCAAAGGAAGAAAUGUUUGCCCAACUGCCUGGGCGAGACAGCUGAAUUGAGACAUAGGAUGCGCUCGGCAAAGUUUCAUAUUGUUGAAUAAUGACUACGAGUUUAAACAUCAAAAAGCCGAUCAAAGGGAAAAGAUGGAGAGGAUUUUGCAACCAUAUAGCAUGCUGAAAGGAUGACUCUUGAUGACGGGAAGACUAAUCAAUGCACGAGUCUCGCGACCAGCAGACGCGGCGACGCCUUGUUGCAUAACAAGAUCAGCGCGAAUGCAAUAAUAAUAAUUCGCGGGAGAUGCAAAAGUCACGCGCAACGACCCGAUUUAUUUGCAUAGCGAUGUACGAAGAAUCGAUACGAAGCUCGAUCUUAUACACGCGCGUAUUUUUUUCUGUUAUAAAGUUUCUGCUAUAUACAUACAGAGAGAAUUUUCUCUUAGAAUUUAUCCUGA